AUGCCAGACUCCUACGGGAGGCAGCAGUGAGGAAUAUUGGUCAAUGGCCGCAGGGCUGAACCAGCCAAGCCGCGUGAGGGAGGAAGGUACAGAGUAUCGUAAACCUCUUUUGUCAGGGAACAAAGGCGGGGACGUGUCCCCGGAUGAGUGUACCUGAAGAAAAAGCAUCGGCUAACUCCGUGCCAGCAGCCGCGGUAAUACGGAGGAUGCGAGCGUUAUCCGGAUUUAUUGGGUUUAAAGGGUGCGCAGGCGGAAGAUCAAGUCGGGGGUAAAAUUGAGGGGCUCAACCUCUUCGAGCCGUUGAAACUGGUUUUCUUGAGUGAGCGAGAAGUAUGCGGAAUGCGUGGUGUAGCGGUGAAAUGCAUAGAUAUCACGCAGAACUCCGAUUGCGAAGGCAGCAUACCGGCGCUCAACUGACGCUCAUGCACGAAAGUGUGGGUAUCGAACAGGAUUAGAUACCCGAGUAUC
RNAcentral lists this ribosomal RNA (468 nucleotides) under uncultured bacterium. RNAcentral's name for it is "bacterial SSU rRNA". It matches the Rfam family "Bacterial small subunit ribosomal RNA", at positions 328 to 795 of the family's 1533-position model. The record is from RNAcentral.